UCCAGACUCCUACGGGAGGCAGCAGUGGGGAAUAUUGCACAAUGGGGGAAACCCUGAUGCAGCGACGCCGCGUGAGUGACGAAGUAUCUCGGUACGUAAAGCUCUAUCAGCAGGGAAGAAAAUGACGGUACCUGACUAAGAAGCCCCGGCUAACUACGUGCCAGCAGCCGCGGUAAUACGUAGGGGGCAAGCGUUAUCCGGAUUUACUGGGUGUAAAGGGAGCGUAGACGGCAGCACAAGUCUGGAGUGAAAGCCCGGGGCUUAACCCCGGAACUGCUUUGGAAACUGUGCGGCUGGAGUGCAGGAGGGGUAAGCGGAAUUCCUAGUGUAGCGGUGAAAUGCGUAGUUAUUAGGAGGAACACCGGUGGCGAAGGCGGCUUACUGGACUGUAACUGACGUUGAGGCUCGAAAGCGUGGGGAGCAAACAGGAUUAGAUACCCUGGUAA
Molecule: ribosomal RNA, 446 nt
Filed under: uncultured bacterium
Lineage: Bacteria
Description: bacterial SSU rRNA
Rfam family: Bacterial small subunit ribosomal RNA
Source: RNAcentral